This 467-nucleotide ribosomal RNA is filed under the name uncultured bacterium. RNAcentral's name for it is "partial 16S ribosomal RNA". It matches the Rfam family "Bacterial small subunit ribosomal RNA", at positions 28 to 506 of the family's 1533-position model. The record is from RNAcentral.
GACGAACGCUGGCGGCGUGCUUAACACAUGCAAGUCGAACGGAAAGGCCCUGCUUUUGUGGGGUGCUCGAGUGGCGAACGGGUGAGUAACACGUGAGUAACCUGCCCUUGACUUUGGGAUAACUUCAGGAAACUGGGGCUAAUACCGGAUAGGAGCUCCUGCUGCAUGGUGGGGGUUGGAAAGUUUCGGCGGUUGGGGAUGGACUCGCGGCUUAUCAGCUUGUUGGUGGGGUAGUGGCUUACCAAGGCUUUGACGGGUAGCCGGCCUGAGAGGGUGACCGGCCACAUUGGGACUGAGAUACGGCCCAGACUCCUCCGGGAGGCAGCAGUGGGGAAUAUUGCACAAUGGGCGGAAGCCUGAUGCAGCAACGCCGCGUGCGGGAUGACGGCCUUCGGGUUGUAAACCGCUUUCGCCUGUGACGAAGCGUGAGUGACGGUAAUGGGUAAAGAAGCACCGGCUAACUACGU